Molecule: antisense RNA, 75 nt
Filed under: Streptomyces sp. WM6372
Lineage: Bacteria; Bacillati; Actinomycetota; Actinomycetes; Kitasatosporales; Streptomycetaceae
Description: ASpks sRNA
Rfam family: ASpks TB sRNA
Source: RNAcentral
CUUGAUCGAGCCGAGCCACAGCGGCUUGUCCUCGUCACGGCCCUGGCCGUACGUGGCGAGCAGCGCCUGGGCCUC